This 411-nucleotide ribosomal RNA is filed under the name uncultured Mycobacterium sp. RNAcentral's name for it is "bacterial SSU rRNA". It matches the Rfam family "Bacterial small subunit ribosomal RNA", at positions 115 to 540 of the family's 1533-position model. Lineage: Bacteria; Bacillati; Actinomycetota; Actinomycetes; Mycobacteriales; Mycobacteriaceae. The record is from RNAcentral.
ACGUGGGUGAUCUGCCCUGCACUUUGGGAUAAGCCUGGGAAACUGGGUCUAAUACCGAAUAUGACCAUGCGCCUCCUGGUGUGUGGUGGAAAGCUUUUGCGGUGUGGGAUGGGCCCGCGGCCUAUCAGCUUGUUGGUGGGGUAAUGGCCUACCAAGGCGACGACGGGUAGCCGGCCUGAGAGGGUGACCGGCCACACUGGGACUGAGAUACGGCCCAGACUCCUACGGGAGGCAGCAGUGGGGAAUAUUGCACAAUGGGCGCAAGCCUGAUGCAGCGACGCCGCGUGAGGGAUGACGGCCUUCGGGUUGUAAACCUCUUUCAGCACAGACGAAGCGCAAGUGACGGUAUGUGCAGAAGAAGGACCGGCCAACUACGUGCCAGCAGCCGCGGUAAUACGUAGGGUCCGAGCG